This 458-nucleotide long non-coding RNA is filed under the name Ananas comosus (pineapple). RNAcentral's name for it is "long non-coding RNA (ACOM_LNC035957)". The record is from RNAcentral. Lineage: Eukaryota; Viridiplantae; Streptophyta; Magnoliopsida; Poales; Bromeliaceae.
CCCCGGUGGGAGAGGAACAUGCCGCAUACACCCGCAGCCGAGAUCCCUGAUAGGGAGAGGAACAUGCCACAUACACCCUAGCGCUCACUGUUCUUGCUCAUUAACAAGCCUCGAAGUUCUUCCGGUGGGAGAGGAACAUGCCACAUGCACCCGCGGCCAAGAACUAUCGAGCUUGUAUGCUGCACUAGCAGCCGCUGCACUAGCAGCAGGGAUUCCGGAAUCCACAUUACAUAACUCAAGGGUUGGUCUCACCCUAUAAUAUUGACCUAUCUAGGUCCAAGCCUUUGCUCAACCUAAGUUCAUACUUUAGGUUCAAUGUCAUUAUCUUCUUAGCCUAGGUUCAUUAACACUAGGUCCAAUGUUCUUAACCACCUAGGUUCAUUCGACUCUAGGUUCCAUAUCAUUACGUUCACAACCUAGGUUUACUUGACUCUAGGUUCAAUGCCAUUCAUAUUCUU